AUGUUCACUUUAGCAGCACAUAUUUUAAAUUAGAAUGAUACAGAGAAAAUUAGCAUGGUUUCUGUACAAGGAUAACAUGCAAAUUUGUGAAGUGUUCCAAAUUUAA
RNAcentral lists this small nuclear RNA (106 nucleotides) under Phascolarctos cinereus (koala). The record is from RNAcentral. Lineage: Eukaryota; Metazoa; Chordata; Mammalia; Diprotodontia; Phascolarctidae.